This 497-nucleotide ribosomal RNA is filed under the name uncultured bacterium. RNAcentral's name for it is "partial 16S ribosomal RNA". It matches the Rfam family "Bacterial small subunit ribosomal RNA", at positions 28 to 507 of the family's 1533-position model. The record is from RNAcentral.
GAUGAACGCUGGCGGCGUGCCUAAUACAUGCAAGUCGAGCGAACAGGCGAGGAGCUUGCUCCUCUGACGUUAGCGGCGGACGGGUGAGUAACACGUGGAUAACCUACCUAUAAGACUGGGAUAACUUCGGGAAACCGGAGCUAAUACCGGAUAAUAUAUUGAACCGCAUGGUUCAAUAGUGAAAGACGGUUUUGCUGUCACUUAUAGAUGGAUCCGCGCCGCAUUAGCUAGUUGGUAAGGUAGCGGCUUACCAAGGCAACGAUGCGUAGCCGACCUGAGAGGGUGAUCGGCCACACUGGAACUGAGACACGGUCCAGACUCCUACGGGAGGCAGCAGUAGGGAAUCUUCCGCAAUGGGCGAAAGCCUGACGGAGCAACGCCGCGUGAGUGAUGAAGGUCUUCGGAUCGUAAAACUCUGUUAUUAGGGAAGAACAAAUGUGUAAGUAACUAUGCACGUCUUGACGGUACCUAAUCAGAAAGCCACGGCUAACUACGUG